GGUGAUCGAUGUUGGCUUGAGUUCUCCCAACCCCAGCUCCUUGUAUACAGAGUAUGGAAGCAAGUUAACACUUGCCCCCAAAUCAAGCAAUGCCUUCUCCACUUGGGUUCCUCCAAUAUUGACUGAGAUUGUAGGACACCCCGGAUCUUUGUAUUUGAUUGGAGACUUGCAUUGGAUUAUAGCACUCACUUGCUCGGUUAGGAAGGCUUGCUUUGUAACAUUGAGUCCUCUUUUC
Molecule: long non-coding RNA, 235 nt
Filed under: Vitis vinifera (wine grape)
Lineage: Eukaryota; Viridiplantae; Streptophyta; Magnoliopsida; Vitales; Vitaceae
Description: long non-coding RNA (VVIN_LNC003852)
Source: RNAcentral